GAUGAACGCUGGCGGCGUGCCUAAUACAUGCAAGUCGAGCGAACAGACGAGGAGCUUGCUCCUCUGACGUUAGCGGCGGACGGGUGAGUAACACGUGGAUAACCUACCUAUAAGACUAGGAUAACUUCGGGAAACCGGAGCUAAUACCGGAUAAUAUAUUGAACCGCAUGGUUCAAUAGUGAAAGACGGUUUUGCUGUCACUUAUAGAUGGAUCCGCGCCGCAUUAGCUAGUUGGUAAGGUAACGGCUUACCAAGGCAACGAUGCGUAGCCGACCUGAGAGGGUGAUCGGCCACACUGGAACUGAGACACGGUCCAGACUCCUACGGGAGGCAGCAGUAGGGAAUCUUCCGCAAUGGGCGAAAGCUUGACGGAGCAACGCCGCGUGAGUGAUGAAGGUCUUCGGAUCGUAAAUCUCUGUUAUUAGGGAAGAACAAAUGUGUAAGUAACUAUGCACGUCUUGACGGUACCUAAUCAGAAAGCCACGGCUAACUACGUG
RNAcentral lists this ribosomal RNA (497 nucleotides) under uncultured bacterium. Its description in RNAcentral is "partial 16S ribosomal RNA". It matches the Rfam family "Bacterial small subunit ribosomal RNA", at positions 28 to 507 of the family's 1533-position model. The record is from RNAcentral.